Molecule: ribosomal RNA, 841 nt
Filed under: uncultured archaeon
Lineage: Archaea
Description: bacterial SSU rRNA
Rfam family: Archaeal small subunit ribosomal RNA
Source: RNAcentral
ACCUACCCUUAGGACGUGGAUACCCCCGAGAAAUUGGGGUUAAUCCGCGAUAGAUGUAAUGUCCUGGAAUGGUAUUACGUCUAAAGGUAUUUCAUUCAUGUUUGAAAUAUGCCUAAGGAUGGGGCUGCGGCCGAUCAGGCUGUUGGUGAGGUAAUGGCUCACCAAACCUUUGACCGGUACGGGCCAUGAGAGUGGUAGCCCGGAGAUGGACACUGAGACAAGGGUCCAGGCCCUAAGGGGCGCAGCAACCGCGAAACCUCCACAAUGCACUCACGUGCGAUGGGGCUAUCUCGAGUGCCACCUGAUGAAGGUGGCUUUUCCUCGGUCUUCAAAGCCUUGGGAAUAAGAGGGGGGCAAGACUGGUGUCAGCCGCCGCGGUAACACCAGCCCCUCGAGUGGUGGGGAUGAUUAUUUGGCCUAAAGCGUCCGUAGCCGGCCGUGUAAGUCUCCCGUUAAAUCCAGCGUCUCAAGCGUUGGACUGCGGGAAGAUACUGUACGGCUAGAGAGUGGGAGAGGUCAGCGGUAUUCUGGGGGUAGGGGCGAAAUCCUUUGAUCUCCGGAGGACCACCAGUGGCGAAGGCUGCUGACUAGAACACGUCUGACGGUCAGGGACGAAAGCUGGGGUAGCGAACCGGAUUAGAUACCCGGGUAGUCCCAGCCGUAAACGAUGCAUGCUAGGUGUUGGGUUGGCCACGCGCCACCCCAGUGCCGCAGGGAAGCCGUUAAGCAUGCCGCCUGGGAAGUACGGAUCGCAAGAUUGAAACCUAUAAGGAAUUGGCGGGGGGAGCUCCUCCAGGCGGGGAGUCUUGCGGUUUAAUGGGAUUCAACGCCGGAAAGCCGA